GAUGAACGCUGGCGGCGUGCUUAACACAUGCAAGUCGAACGGAAAGGCCCUGCUUUUGUGGGGUGCUCGUGUGGCGAACGGGUGAGUAACACGUGAGUAACCUGCCCUUGACUUUGGGAUAACUUCAGGAAACUGGGGCUAAUACCGGAUAGGAGCUCCUGCUGCAUGGUGGGGGUUGGAAAGUUUCGGCGGUUGGGGAUGGACUCGCGGCUUAUCAGCUUGUUGGUGGGGUAGUGGCUUACCAAGGCUUUGACGGGUAGCCGGCCUGAGAGGGUGACCGGCCACAAGGGUACUGAGAUACGGCCCAGACUCCUACGGGAGGCAGCAGUCGGGAAUAUUGCACAAUGGGCGGAAGCCUGAUGCAGCAACGCCGCGUGCGGGAUGACGGCCUUCGGGGUGUAAACCGCUUUCUCCUGUGACGAAGCGGUAUUGACGGUAAUGGGUAAAGAAGCACCGGCUAACUACGUG
Molecule: ribosomal RNA, 468 nt
Filed under: uncultured bacterium
Lineage: Bacteria
Description: partial 16S ribosomal RNA
Rfam family: Bacterial small subunit ribosomal RNA
Source: RNAcentral